AGUGAACGCUGGCGGUAGGCCUAACACAUGCAAGUCGAACGGCAGCACAGUAAGAGCUUGCUCUUACGGGUGGCGAGUGGCGGACGGGUGAGGAGUACAUCGGAAUCUACUUUUUCGUGGGGGAUAACGUAGGGAAACUUACGCUAAUACCGCAUACGACCUACGGGUGAAAGCAGGGGAUCUUCGGACCUUGCGCGAUUGAAUGAGCCGAUGUCGGAUUAGCUAGUUGGCGGGGUAAAGGCCCACCAAGGCGACGAUCCGUAGCUGGUCUGAGAGGAUGAUCAGCCACACUGGAGCGGAGACAGCGUCCAGACUCCUACGGGAGGCAGCAGUGGGGAAUAUUGGACAAUGGGCGCAAGCCUGAUCCAGCCAUACCGCGUGGGUGAAGAAGGCCUUCGGGUUGUAAAGCCCUUUUGUUGGGAAAGAAAAGCAGCAGGUUAAUACCCCGCUGUUCUGACGGUACCCAAAGAAUAAGCACCGGCUAACUUCGUG
This 492-nucleotide ribosomal RNA is filed under the name uncultured bacterium. Its description in RNAcentral is "partial 16S ribosomal RNA". It matches the Rfam family "Bacterial small subunit ribosomal RNA", at positions 29 to 507 of the family's 1533-position model. The record is from RNAcentral.